AAAACUAAAUCUCUCAAUAUGUUUCUUUUGAUAUUACAUUUGUCCACGAGACUUCUUUAUAUAGGACUAAGCUACUUCUUAACCUAAUAAUAAUAUUAAAAUAUUCCUAAGUUCGAUAUGUUUUUCUUUUUCCUUAACCCAUCAAACUUCACUUUUAUGACUUAACUUGUUCCUCAAGUUAAGUGGAAUUAUCCAGCAACUGUCUUGGCUAGGAUAAUGCAGAAAAUCUCUAAGAAGCAAUGUCACGUUCCUCGUAUCACCCACAAAGAAUACUUUUUUAAUC
RNAcentral lists this long non-coding RNA (283 nucleotides) under Brassica napus (rape). Its description in RNAcentral is "long non-coding RNA (BNAP_LNC008711)". The record is from RNAcentral. Lineage: Eukaryota; Viridiplantae; Streptophyta; Magnoliopsida; Brassicales; Brassicaceae.